Molecule: ribosomal RNA, 510 nt
Filed under: uncultured bacterium
Lineage: Bacteria
Description: bacterial SSU rRNA
Rfam family: Bacterial small subunit ribosomal RNA
Source: RNAcentral
GAUUAACGCUAGCGGCAGGCCUAACACAUGCAAGUCGAGGGGCAGCACGGGGUAGCAAUACUCUGGUGGCGACCGGCGCACGGGUGAGUAACGCGUAUGCAACCUACCUUUAACAGGAAGAUAGCCCCGAGAAAUCGGGAUUAGUACUCCAUAAUGAUUAAAAGCUGCAUGGUUUUUAAUUUAAAGUUCCGACGGUUAAAGAUGGGCAUGCGUGACAUUAGUUAGUUGGUGAGGUAACGGCUCACCAAGACCACGAUGUCUAGGGGUUCUGAGAGGAUUAUCCCCCACACUGGUACUGAGACACGGACCAGACUCCUACGGGAGGCAGCAGUGAGGAAUAUUGGUCAAUGGUCGCAAGACUGAACCAGCCAUGCCGCGUGCAGGAUGAAUGUUCUAUGAAUUGUAAACUGCUUUUUCUAAGGGAAGAAACCUAUCUACGUGUAGGUAGUUGCCGGUACCUUAGGAAUAAGCAUCGGCUAACUCCGUGCCAGCAGCCGCGGUAAAGUAUCG